Molecule: ribosomal RNA, 1350 nt
Filed under: uncultured marine eukaryote
Lineage: Eukaryota
Description: SSU rRNA
Rfam family: Eukaryotic small subunit ribosomal RNA
Source: RNAcentral
GGCAUUCAAUGGAGGAGCGGGCGCGCAAUUACCCAAUCCUGACUCAGGGAGGUAGUGACAAGAAAUAACAAUAAACCGGCUUAUGCCGGUUUAAUUGGAAUGAGUACAAUUUAAACAUCUUAACGAGGAACAAUUGGAGGGCAAGUCUGGUGCCAGCAGCCGCGGUAAUUCCAGCUCCAAUAGCGUAUACUAAAGUUGUUGCAGUUAAAAAGCUCGUAGUUGGAUUUCUGUGGGGACGGAGCGGCCGGCCGCACAUCGCGGUUCGAGCUAGCGCUUUCCCUACAUCCUGCCGCGAACCGUGCUACCAUUAGUUUGGUGGCGCCGGGGAUCGGCUCGAUUACUUUGAGAAAAAUAGAGUGUUCAAAGCAGGCCACAUGCCUUGAAUAAGUUAGCAUGGAAUAAUAACUAAGGACUUCGGUUCUAUUUUGUUGGUGUUCGGGACUGAAGUAAUGAUUGAUAGGGACAGUUGGGGCGGUCUGUAUCCCAAAGCGAGAGGUGAAAUUCUUAGACCUUCGGAAGACAAACAGCUGCGAAAGCGUUCCGCAAGGAUGUUCCCUUUGAUCAAGAACGAAAGUUGGGGGAUCGAAGACGAUCAGAUACCGUCGUAGUCUCAACUAUAAACUAUACCAGCUAGGGAUCGGCCAACGUUAUUUUAUACCGACUUGGUCGGCACCUUAUGAGAAAUCAAAGCAUCUGGGUUCCGGGGGGAGUAUGGUCGCAAGGCUGAAACUUAAAGGAAUUGACGGAAGGGCACCACCAGCCGUGGAGCCUGUGGCUUAAUUUGACUCAACACGGGAAAACUUACCAGGUCCAGACAUAGUAAGGAUUGACAGAUUGAUAGCUCUUUCUUGAUUCUGUGGGUGGUGGUGCAUGGCCGUUCUUAGUUGGUGGAGUGAUUUGUCUGGUUAAUUCCGUUAACGAACGAGACCCCAGCCUGCUAAAUAGCGCGAGUGAGCUUUGCUCGCUGCGAGCUUCUUAGAGGGACUAUGAUGCGCGAUAGCACAUGGAAGUUUGGGGCAAUAACAGGUCUGUGAUGCCCUUAGAUGUUCUGGGCCGCACACGGGCUACACUGGCGCCUGCAACGAGCAUAUCAGCUGGCCCGAGAGGGUCUUGGCUAAUCUUUUGAACCGGCGCCGUGCUUGGGAUUGACCUUUGCAAUUGUUGGUCAUGCAACGAGGAAUGCCUUGUAAACGCGAGUCAUCAGCUCGCAUUGAAUACGUCCCUGCCCUUUGUACACACCGCCCGUCGCUCCUACCGAUGAAUGUUCCGAUGAAAUUUUCGGAGAGCACCUGUGAACUUGGCUCUGCCUUGCGAACGGGAGGCUCAAAGUCACAUAAAUCGAAACAUCAA